CUCACAGAUUCCUUGCUUGAUAGUUUGUUGGCAGAGCUUUUUCAAACGAUUUUCUCUAUAAAAGGUAGCCAAAUCCAGCAAUCCUGGCGGGAAGAGAUCGGCAGGGCACAGGGCUGAGGGCCAGACAGCAGCCUAUGGAGGCCAAGGUACU
Leopardus geoffroyi (Geoffroy's cat) is the source of this 151-nucleotide long non-coding RNA. RefSeq lists it as uncharacterized. The transcript is spliced from 2 exons. Lineage: Eukaryota; Metazoa; Chordata; Mammalia; Carnivora; Felidae. The record is from RefSeq and is a predicted model, not a curated record.